Molecule: unclassified non-coding RNA, 332 nt
Filed under: soil metagenome
Description: partial contains 5.8S ribosomal RNA, internal transcribed spacer 2, and large subunit ribosomal RNA
Rfam family: 5.8S ribosomal RNA (bases 1-120)
Source: RNAcentral
GAUGAAGAACGUAGCAAAAUGCGAUAAGUAAUGUGAAUUGCAGAAUUCAGUGAAUCAUCGAAUCUUUGAACGCACAUUGCGCCCGCCAGUAUUCUGGCGGGCAUGCCUGUUCGAGCGUCAUUUCAACCCUCAAGCACAGCUUGGUGUUGGGACUCGCGUUAAUUCGCGUUCCCCAAAUUGAUUGGCGGUCACGUCGAGCUUCCAUAGCGUAGUAGUAAAACCCUCGUUACUGGUAAUCGUCGCGGCCACGCCGUUAAACCCCAACUUCUGAAUGUUGACCUCGAAUCAGGUAGGGAUACCCGCUGAACUUAAGCAUAUCAAUAAGCGGAGGA